CCUACGGGAGGCAGCAGUGAGGAAUCUUGGUCAAUGGACGAAAGUCUGAACCAGCCAAGUAGCGUGAGGGAUGACUGCCCUAUGGGUUGUAAACUUCUUUUAUAUGGGAAUAAAACGUUCCACGUGUGGGAUUUUGCAUGUACCAUAUGAAUAAGGAUCGGCUAACUCCGUGCCAGCAGCCGCCGUAAUACGGAGGGUCCGAGCGUUAUCCGGAUUUAUUGGGUUUAAAGGGAGCGUAGGGGGGUUGUUAAGUCAGUUGUGAAAGUUUGCGGCUCAACCGUAAAAUUGCAGUUGAAACUGGCAGUCUUGAGUACAGUAGAGGUGGGCGGAAUUCGUGGUGUAGCGGUGAAAUGCUUAGAUAUCACGAAGAACUCCGAUUGCGAAGGCAGUUCACUGGACUGCAACUGACGCUGAGGCUCGAAAGUGUGGGUAUCAAACAGGAUUAGAUACCCUAGUAGUC
Molecule: ribosomal RNA, 460 nt
Filed under: uncultured bacterium
Lineage: Bacteria
Description: partial 16S ribosomal RNA
Rfam family: Bacterial small subunit ribosomal RNA
Source: RNAcentral